UUAGUGGGUAGUUUUNCUGGGCAUAAUAGUAUGGAUUAACAUUUGUGAUNUUUCAGAGNUGGGAUCCUGAGGUCUCUCCAGUCCACUGAGGGCACACCACUGGCCAGUCUCAUCUGCCAUACAGGGAAGGUGGAACAUGAGCAUAUACACUAGGACCAGAAAGAUAGUAAACUAUGCUUGGGCAGGGUGAUACCAGAGGAAACUCUAGUGGGUAUCUGUAGUAGUCCUGAUGUUCAUGCAACCUUAUACCCAUCUGACCUGUGUACAAGGUUGAAAGACUAAUCAANCCAUGUAUUAGCUGG
This 302-nucleotide non-coding RNA is filed under the name Neotoma lepida (desert woodrat). Its description in RNAcentral is "Eukaryotic large subunit ribosomal RNA". It matches the Rfam family "Eukaryotic large subunit ribosomal RNA", at positions 693 to 954 of the family's 3401-position model. Lineage: Eukaryota; Metazoa; Chordata; Mammalia; Rodentia; Cricetidae. The record is from Rfam by way of RNAcentral.